UACGUAGGGCGCGAGCGUUGUCCGGAUUUAUUGGGCGUAAAGAGCUCGUAGGCGGCUUGUCGCGUCGAAUGUGAAAACCCGAGGCUCAACUUCGGGCUUGCAUUCGAUACGGGCAGGCUAGAGUUCGGUAGGGGAGACUGGAAUUCCUGGUGUAGCGGUGAAAUGCGCAGAUAUCAGGAGGAACACCGGUGGCGAAGGCGGGUCUCUGGGCCGAUACUGACGCUGAGGAGCGAAAGCGUGGGGAGCGAACAGG
RNAcentral lists this ribosomal RNA (253 nucleotides) under uncultured bacterium. Its description in RNAcentral is "partial 16S ribosomal RNA". It matches the Rfam family "Bacterial small subunit ribosomal RNA", at positions 524 to 776 of the family's 1533-position model. The record is from RNAcentral.